UUGACCUCGGAUCAGGUAGGAAUACCCGCUGAACUUAAGCAUAUCAAUAAGCGGAGGAAAAGAAACCAACAGGGAUUGCCCUAGUAACGGCGAGUGAAGCGGCAACAGCUCAAAUUUGAAAUCUGGCUCUCGGGCCCGAGUUGUAAUUUGUAGAGGAUGCUUUUGAUGCGGUGCCUUCCGAGUUCCCUGGAACGGGACGCCAUAGAGGGUGAGAGCCCCGUCUGGUUGGAUGCCAAAUCUCUGUAAAGCUCCUUCGACGAGUCGAGUAGUUUGGGAAUGCUGCUCUAAAUGGGAGGUAUAUGUCUUCUAAAGCUAAAUACCGGCCAGAGACCGAUAGCGCACAAGUAGAGUGAUCGAAAGAUGAAAAGCACUUUGAAAAGAGAGUUAAAAAGUACGUGAAAUUGUUGAAAGGGAAGCGUUUAUGACCAGACUUGGGCUUGGUUAAUCAUCUGGGGUUCUCCCCAGUGCACUUUUCCAGUCCAGGCCAGCAUCAGUUUUCGCCGGGGGAUAAAGGCUUCGGGAAUGUGGCUCCCUCCGGGGAGUGUUAUAGCCCGUUGCGUAAUACCCUGGCGG
Molecule: ribosomal RNA, 573 nt
Filed under: Fusarium lacertarum
Lineage: Eukaryota; Fungi; Ascomycota; Sordariomycetes; Hypocreales; Nectriaceae
Description: eukaryotic LSU rRNA
Rfam family: Eukaryotic large subunit ribosomal RNA
Source: RNAcentral